This 458-nucleotide long non-coding RNA is filed under the name Salvia miltiorrhiza (redroot sage). RNAcentral's name for it is "long non-coding RNA (SMIL_LNC001556)". Lineage: Eukaryota; Viridiplantae; Streptophyta; Magnoliopsida; Lamiales; Lamiaceae. The record is from RNAcentral.
UUGAAUUCUCGACGUAUUCAAGCUGUAAAUAAUGGGAACUUGGAGAUUUUCAGUGUAGCCAAUGAAACUCUUGAGGUAAUGAUAAGUUUUUUGUUUAUAUUUCAAACUAUAAAUUUGUGCUAUUAAUUUUUUGAUCAAUUUUAUUAGAUGGGAAAAGACGUGAAUAACCCAGAGGAGAACAACAUAGAUAGUCAUUUGGAUGGUGCACGUUCACAGGUAUUAUCUUUGAUUAAUACUUUGCCAUUUAUUAUUUUUAUAAUAAAUGUAAAAUAUGAUGGAUCUUAUUAUAAUUAUAUAGGAACAAGUGAUAACUAAAAGAAGGAGCAGCAAGAGGAAGAGAAAUUGCCAAUGAUCGUCGUCGUCACGUUGCCACAACUAAAUUUUCAUUAUUUCAUUGCAAGAUAAAUUUAGACAUCUUGGAAAUUUGAUUUAGAUUUUUGAACAAUGUUCGUAGGAAG